CCUACGGGAGGCAGCAGUGAGGAAUAUUGGUCAAUGGCCGGGAGGCUGAACCAGCCAAGUCGCGUGAGGGAAGACGGCCCUACGGGUUGUAAACCUCUUUUGUCAGGGAGCAAGGUGCAGGUCGGGACCUGCUGUGAGAGUACCUGAUGAAAAAGCAUCGGCUAACUCCGUGCCAGCAGCCGCGGUAAUACGGAGGAUGCGAGCGUUAUCCGGAUUUAUUGGGUUUAAAGGGUGCGCAGGCGGAGGCACAAGUCAGCGGUAAAAUCGGGGGGCUCAACCCCGCUCCGCCGUUGAAACUGUGGCCCUUGAGUGCGCGAAGGGUAGGCGGAAUGCGUGGUGUAGCGGUGAAAUGCAUAGAUAUCACGCAGAACUCCGAUCGCGAAGGCAGCCUACCGGCGCGCAACUGACGCUCAUGCACGAAAGCGUGGGUAUCGAACAGGAUUAGAUACCCGGGUAGUC
Molecule: ribosomal RNA, 459 nt
Filed under: uncultured bacterium
Lineage: Bacteria
Description: partial 16S ribosomal RNA
Rfam family: Bacterial small subunit ribosomal RNA
Source: RNAcentral